RNAcentral lists this ribosomal RNA (650 nucleotides) under uncultured bacterium. RNAcentral's name for it is "bacterial SSU rRNA". It matches the Rfam family "Bacterial small subunit ribosomal RNA", at positions 80 to 766 of the family's 1533-position model. The record is from RNAcentral.
UGGGGACUCGAGUCGAGUGCGGACGGGUGAGUAAUGCAUGGGUAUCUACCGAGAAGUGGGGAAUAACUACUGGAAACAGUGGCUAAUACCGCAUAAUCCAUAUUGGGAAAGCUUUUGCGCUUUUCGAUGAGCCCAUGUCUGAUUAGCUAGUUGGUAGAGUAAAAGCCUACCAAGGCGACGAUCAGUAGCUGGUCUGAGAGGAUGAUCAGCCACACUGGGACUGAGACACGGCCCAGACUCCUACGAGAGGCAGCAGUAGGGAAUCUUGCGCAAUGGACGAAAGUCUGACGCAGCGAUGCCGCGUGAGUGAUGACGGUUCUAGGACUGUAAAGCUCUUUUAUCAGGGAAGAUAAUGACGGUACCUGAAGAAAAAGUCCCGGCUAACUCCGUGCCAGCAGCCGCGGUAAUACGGAGGGGGCGAACGUUAUUCGGAUUUACUGGGCGUAAAGCGAUCGUAGGCGGUUUUGCAAGCCAGAUGUGAAAUCCCCGGGCUCAACCUGGGAAUUGCAUUUGGAACUGCAUCACUAGAAUUAUGGAGAGGAUAGUGGAAUUUCCAGUGUAGAGGUGAAAUUCGUAGAUAUUGGAAGGAACACCAGAGGCGAAGGCGACUGUCUGGCCAUAUAUUGACGCUGAGGGUCGAAAGCGUGGGG